This 446-nucleotide ribosomal RNA is filed under the name uncultured bacterium. RNAcentral describes it as "bacterial SSU rRNA". It matches the Rfam family "Bacterial small subunit ribosomal RNA", at positions 217 to 662 of the family's 1533-position model. The record is from RNAcentral.
GGUAUGGGAUGAGCUUGCGUCCGAUUAGCUAGUUGGCGGGGCAACGGCCCACCAAGGCGACGAUCGGUAGCCGGCCUGAGAGGGUGAUCGGCCACAUUGGGACUGAGAUACGGCCCAGACUCCUACGGGAGGCAGCAGUAGGGAAUAUUGCACAAUGGGGGAAACCCUGAUGCAGCAACGCCACGUGUGGGAAGAAGCAUUUCGGUGUGUAAACCACUGUCGUGAGGGAAUAAUACGCGGUUUCGGCCGCGGGAGAAUGUACCUUGAAAGGAAGCACCGGCAAACUUCGUGCCAGCAGCCGCGGUAAUACGAGGGGUGCAAGCGUUGUUCGGAAUCACUGGGCGUAAAGGGAGCGUAGGCGGAUGUUCAAGCGGAUUGUACAAUACCGGGGCCCAACCCCGGACCUGCAGUUCGAACUGGACAUCUUGGAUAGUUCAGGGGCAGGC